GGUCAGCCAUCUUUGAUUUUUUUGCAAGGUGCGUGUUGACUUAGAUCAAAGGCAAGAGUUCUCUGACGGAGUUAAAUUUACCGUUUUUCUGGUGACUUUAUAUCAUAGACUAUACAUUUUAAAGUACAGUCUGUGCUCCAUAUCCACCAGACAUCGUUUUUUUCGCUGCAAAAAUGAUCUUUCUUCCGGAUUUGCUGGGAUGCUGGGCUACAUUGUUUCAAUUCAUUGAGGAUAACAAGAAGAUGGUGGAGAGCCAAUCCUGAGACAAACCUGGCUCAGUCAUGAUCAGGGUAAUGGAGGCUAGAGGACAUCAGCAUGGAGAUAGCAGAUGGGACAGAGGCGAUACAGAGAGGGAGGAUGAUCAGACAGCAGGAGACAGGCAAGCACCAUCCUGAAGGUAUACUCAACAUUUCUCCAGUCAUCAUGAAACGCUGAUCUAGAGAGAAGUUACUUAUCACUGUGAGGAGUGCAGCAGUCGCAGGUAUUAAGGGAACAUUAGCUGCUCGCCAAACCUGAGGAGUGUGUCUGCAUGUGAGAAGUGCUGACUGCAAGUCUAGCAAAGGUGAGCUCCCUAGAUCACAUUCAAAUGUUAAGCGAUACACACACAGACACAAACACACACUCGCAUACACACACACACGCACAGGUGAGGUCCAAUACAAAUGUUGCUAAUAAGCAGCACCACUGGGCCAGAUCCUAUUUGUCAAACCCUUGGGUGCCGACCGCCAGACGGGGAGUAACCUGCUGAGCUCACACUUCUGAAAUGCAGAGACACACACACACGCACAAGCAAAUAUGCAGACACACAAACUUCCUAGCCAUCUGUUUGUCAGUGGGAUGUGACAGUAGUUUAAAUAGACUUAAAAUUUACAGUAGCAUACCUCUACUUACAUUUAUUCAGGUUUGCUGCAGCUGU
Molecule: long non-coding RNA, 916 nt
Organism: Lates calcarifer (barramundi perch)
Lineage: Eukaryota; Metazoa; Chordata; Actinopteri; Centropomidae
Exons: 4
Source: RefSeq, a predicted model, not a curated record